Molecule: ribosomal RNA, 465 nt
Filed under: Vreelandella stevensii
Lineage: Bacteria; Pseudomonadati; Pseudomonadota; Gammaproteobacteria; Oceanospirillales; Halomonadaceae
Description: partial 16S ribosomal RNA
Rfam family: Bacterial small subunit ribosomal RNA
Source: RNAcentral
CCUACGGGUGGCUGCAGUGGGGAAUAUUGGACAAUGGGCGAAAGCCUGAUCCAGCCAUGCCGCGUGUGUGAAGAAGGCCUUCGGGUUGUAAAGCACUUUCAGUGGGGAAGAAAGCCUUGGGGCUACUACCCUCGAGGAAGGACAUCACCCACAGAAGAAGCACCGGCUAACUCCGUGCCAGCAGCCGCGGUAAUACGGAGGGUGCGAGCGUUAAUCGGAAUUACUGGGCGUAAAGCGCGCGUAGGCGGUCUGAUAAGCCGGUUGUGAAAGCCCCGGGCUCAACCUGGGAACGGCAUCCGGAACUGUCAGGCUAGAGUGCAGGAGAGGAAGGUAGAAUUCCCGGUGUAGCGGUGAAAUGCGUAGAGAUCGGGAGGAAUACCAGUGGCGAAGGCGGCCUUCUGGACUGACACUGACGCUGAGGUGCGAAAGCGUGGGUAGCAAACAGGAUUAGAUACCCGAGUAGUC